Long non-coding RNA from Anguilla rostrata (American eel), 957 nucleotides. RefSeq lists it as uncharacterized. Lineage: Eukaryota; Metazoa; Chordata; Actinopteri; Anguilliformes; Anguillidae. The transcript has 2 exons. The record is from RefSeq and is a predicted model, not a curated record.
UCCCCCGUCGACCGAUCCAGGACCACAGCCUCAAACUGAGCCCCACCUGAGGUGCCACUGUGCACCCUGAACCCACAAAUCUCUCCUACCGUGGACAGAGGAGGAAGUAGGUUUAUACAGGCAGUUUGGGAGCGACCUCCUCGUUUCCACACCACCCUACCUAUCUCUUCUCUCCCCGCCCGGACUGCAAAAUGACGUCAAUUCGUCUCCCACCAGACUGAUACAGGAUUGCAUGUAGCCUACGUCCAGUAUGUUCUUCAUCGAUUUAAAAAAAAUACAAAUUGAAAUGCAGAAUUUGAAUUACAAAAAAGUUUAUUUAAAAUUCUGUUCUUUAUACAUUUGGUAGCAAUAAGGCAAAGUAGUCUGAAUAAUAACAAUUAAUACACAUCAAUUACCACCACAAGUAUAAAUAUUAUUUAAAAAUAUUAUCGUUAGUGAGCCGCAGCUCCCAUUCAGCCACUAUAACGAGCUGACUUCCUCACUGGAGUUUUUUAUUGAUGGUAUAAUCAUUAUCAUAACUUCGUUCAAUAGAAAAGCUGUGGUUUUGGUUGAAGGUUUUUUGCUUUGUGUUCUUGUUCAGGCAGAAUAAAAGAGUGAUGAAGCAGAAGUAAAAAAUAGUAGGAGACAAAAAUUGAGGAUUUGAAAUUGAAGUCACAACAAUGGAUGAAGAAAUGGACAGACAAAAUCACCCUUUGUGGAUCUUCCUUUCAAAGCUGCAAAACACCGUACACAAACGCCCAAAAAUAUCAACAAAUGAACAGCCAUAACACAAUAACACAAUGGCAACAAAGAAAAACUGAAUUUGUUAAAACCAGCGCAACCUUUAACAUUCGUCAAUAAACAAGGCAAUUAAACUAAAGUACAGUGUGUUGGCCAAGGUUUGUUGAAAAAAAAAAAGAGACCCAUACAAAAAUGGCCAUGAGAUGUAUGUCACUUUAAACGUGUAUGUGUGUCAAG